GACGAACGCUGGCGGCGUGCCUAAUACAUGCAAGUCGAACGCACAGUUUAUACCGUAGCUUGCUACACCAUAGACUGUGAGUUACGAACGGGUGAGUAACGCGUAGGUAACCUGCCUGGUAGCGGGGGAUAACUAUUGGAAACGAUAGCUAAUACCGCAUAAUAUUAAUUAUUGCAUGAUAAUUAAUUGAAAGGUGCAAUUGCACCACUACCAGAUGGACCUGCGUUGUAUUAGCUAGUAGGUGAGGUAACGGCUCACCUAGGCGACGAUACAUAGCCGACCUGAGAGGGUGAUCGGCCACACUGGGACUGAGACACGGCCCAGACUCCUACGGGAGGCAGCAGUAGGGAAUCUUCGGCAAUGGACGAAAGUCUGACCGAGCAACGCCGCGUGAGUGAAGAAGGGUUUCGGAUCGUAAAGCUCUGUUGUAAGAGAAGAACGGGUGUGAGAGUGGAAAGUUCACACUGUGACGGUAUCUUACCAGAAAGGGACGGCUAACUACGUG
RNAcentral lists this ribosomal RNA (505 nucleotides) under uncultured bacterium. RNAcentral describes it as "partial 16S ribosomal RNA". It matches the Rfam family "Bacterial small subunit ribosomal RNA", at positions 28 to 507 of the family's 1533-position model. The record is from RNAcentral.